This 253-nucleotide ribosomal RNA is filed under the name uncultured bacterium. Its description in RNAcentral is "partial 16S ribosomal RNA". It matches the Rfam family "Bacterial small subunit ribosomal RNA", at positions 524 to 776 of the family's 1533-position model. The record is from RNAcentral.
UACGGAGGGUGCAAGCGUUAUCCGGAUUCACUGGGUUUAAAGGGUGCGUAGGUGGGCAGGUAAGUCAGUGGUGAAAUCUCCGGGCUUAACCCGGAAACUGCCAUUGAUACUAUCAGUCUUGAAUACCGUGGAGGUAAGCGGAAUAUGUCAUGUAGCGGUGAAAUGCUUAGAUAUGACAUAGAACACCAAUUGCGAAGGCAGCUUACUACCCGAAUAUUGACACUGAGGCACGAAGGCGUGGGGAUCAAACAGG